CCUACGGGAGGCUGCAGUGGGGAAUAUUGCACAAUGGGCGCAAGCCUGAUGCAGCCAUGCCGCGUGUGUGAAGAAGGCCUUCGGGUUGUAAAGCACUUUCAGCGGGGAGGAAGGCGGUGAGGUUAAUAACCUCAUCGAUUGACGUUACCCGCAGAAGAAGCACCGGCUAACUCCGUGCCAGCAGCCGCGGUAAUACGGAGGGUGCAAGCGUUAAUCGGAAUUACUGGGCGUAAAGCGCACGCAGGCGGUCUGUCAAGUCGGAUGUGAAAUCCCCGGGCUCAACCUGGGAACUGCAUUCGAAACUGGCAGGCUAGAGUCUUGUAGAGGGGGGUAGAAUUCCAGGUGUAGCGGUGAAAUGCGUAGAGAUCUGGAGGAACACCGGUGGCGAAGGCGGCCCCCUGGACAAAGACUGACGCUCAGGUGCGAAAGCGUGGGGAGCAAACAGGAUUAGAUACCCGUGUAGUC
RNAcentral lists this ribosomal RNA (465 nucleotides) under uncultured Klebsiella sp. RNAcentral's name for it is "bacterial SSU rRNA". It matches the Rfam family "Bacterial small subunit ribosomal RNA", at positions 338 to 795 of the family's 1533-position model. Lineage: Bacteria; Pseudomonadati; Pseudomonadota; Gammaproteobacteria; Enterobacterales; Enterobacteriaceae. The record is from RNAcentral.